Molecule: long non-coding RNA, 1064 nt
Organism: Leguminivora glycinivorella
Lineage: Eukaryota; Metazoa; Arthropoda; Insecta; Lepidoptera; Tortricidae
Exons: 3
Source: RefSeq, a predicted model, not a curated record
UGUAUCGAAGAAAAUUAGACAGUGUGGAAAGUAAUCUGUUUGAUAAAUUAGGCGAGAAAAUAAGAAGAGUAGGAGAGGAAGAUAGAAGAAAGCCGAUCAACGCGGGCGUCCCUCGCCGCCAUGAUCGCGGGCAUUGCGGACUUUAUUGUUUGCGUUAUCUUACAAGAUCCAAACCGCGCCCUAGGUUUGCCUUAUAUUCGAGAUCACCAUCUCUGCCUGCGGCGUCGAGAAGUAGUAACAGGUCUCCAUUGGUUGUCAUUGAGAUUCUGACGACCUCCAUAAUGAAGCACAAAUGCAAUUGAAGAUCUAAGCGAUGAAGUCUUAACCUCUCGGUGAGGCACUUGAGCAGGUUGUUUUUUGGCAAAAACCUUUUUUCCAGCUUACAAAGAGAUAAAUAAAGAAAAGAAAGGACAAGUCAACUAAGAAACAUCCUGCUCCAGAAGUUACAAAGUAUAAAGUCAUAGAACAGAAAUAAUCUGAAGUCUCAAUUUAUUUGCCACUGGCUUGGCCCUCAUAACAUUUGCUGAAUGAAUUGGUCAUCUUUUGUGAGACGCAGGGAGUUACAACUUAAAAGGAUGUUUAUAACGUCGGGUCUUUACAAUAAAAUUGUAUGUGGGACCUUAAAAUAUUGUGAUGUUGACUAGUGUUUUUAGAGAAAACAUAGCUAAAAAGUUUUUAAAUGCCAUUGAAUAAUCUAGGGAAGAUCUGAAGAGACCUAAGAAGAUAUAACCUAGUAGAAGAUACAAAUUCAAGGGCCCAACCAAUAACACAGAGACAUACCCAGAGCCCAAGGUCAGAAGCUGUACCACAGGAAACCAUAACAACACCACCUCUUCUGCCAAGCCACAUCAUCAGCGGAGGUGUCGCACUCAGCAAUAUUACUAUUACAAUAGCUGUUAAAUGAUCAGCAACCAGCAGUUUCAGCGACGUGUUAUCCUGUUUGCCGCGGGGCUCUCCGGGCAGCGCUGGCGCUGAAGGGGGCGGCGGUGACGUCAUGCUGCAGUCCCUCGCGCCCAACACCGUCAAGCAGUAUCACACGUACUUGACACGCUGGUAUUAAUAUA